This 509-nucleotide ribosomal RNA is filed under the name uncultured bacterium. Its description in RNAcentral is "bacterial SSU rRNA". It matches the Rfam family "Bacterial small subunit ribosomal RNA", at positions 9 to 514 of the family's 1533-position model. The record is from RNAcentral.
GAGUUUGAUCUUGGCUCAGAUUGAACGCUGGCGGCAGGCCUAACACAUGCAAGUCGAGCGGUAGAGAGAAGCUUGCUUCUCUUGAGAGCGGCGGACGGGUGAGUAAUGCCUAGGAAUCUGCCUGGUAGUGGGGGAUAACGCUCGGAAACGGACGCUAAUACCGCAUACGUCCUACGGGAGAAAGCAGGGGACCUUCGGGCCUUGCGCUAUCAGAUGAGCCUAGGUCGGAUUAGCUAGUUGGUGAGGUAAUGGCUCACCAAGGCGACGAUCCGUAACUGGUCUGAGAGGAUGAUCAGUCACACUGGAACUGAGACACGGUCCAGACUCCUACGGGAGGCAGCAGUGGGGAAUAUUGGACAAUGGGCGAAAGCCUGAUCCAGCCAUGCCGCGUGUGUGAAGAAGGUCUUCGGAUUGUAAAGCACUUUAAGUUGGAGGAAGGGCAGUAAAUUAAUACUUUGCUGUUUUGACGUUACCGACAGAAUAAGCACCGGCUAACUCUGUGCCAGCAC